Molecule: long non-coding RNA, 1007 nt
Organism: Zophobas morio
Lineage: Eukaryota; Metazoa; Arthropoda; Insecta; Coleoptera; Tenebrionidae
Exons: 2
Source: RefSeq, a predicted model, not a curated record
ACUGGAUUUAUGUUUAUUUAUUUUUUUUAUAAUAUUUUUGAUAGCAGACAUUAUUUUUGCAUUUUGUAUUGGAUUCCUUUUACGAAAGUCCAUUCGUGAACGCAACACAUUUCCUGCAGAUGGGACAAAAGUUCGUUUCGAAAAGGCUGUUCGCAUGUGCCCUUGCUUACACGGAUAUUAUCCAAAUGGGGCGAAAGGCACUUUAUCAUACAAGGUAACCGAGGUAACUAUCUCAAAGGAAAAGAGCAAAAGAUCUGUAGAUGAAUUUGCUACUUCACACAUGAAAAAAUAUCCAUUUUUGGUGGCUCUGAGCUUACCUGCAUAUAAAGAUGAUACAGGACACAAAAUUUUCUCUUGCAGUGGUUUGGUUUUGUCAACCAAGUGGAUGUUAACAAGCGAAUCUUGUGUUCAAGACGAUUUAGAAUGGUUCAAUUUAACAGUGCGCUCUGAAAGUCCAUUUUGGGGGCAUCUAGGUCGAGAGCACGCUGUUAUUAAGGUUGUUCGAUCAAACUACGAUGGUUUGGUACAACUUCAAAUAUCACCAAAAUUUUCUGAAAGAAUUGUUCCACUUCCACCCAUUAAAUACCUCUUUACUAAUAAAUGGAACUAUGCCGUUUCUCUAGGUUGGAAUGACAAUAUGUAUCGCCAAAAACUCGGCUAUAGAUACAAACACAAAGUGUUUGAUGUCGAAAAGUGGAAAACAGGAAUUUCUAAAUCAAAAUCCACGUUGACAUGUCUGAAUUGUGGAAAGUUUUCUAGUAAAGUAUUACUGACAACUUGUCAUCAAGUAGUUGGAAUGGAGUCUGUCGGCCAACAAACGUUUUCUUUGUCUAAAAACCUAGCAUCAGAAAUGCAAAAUGCAUGCAGCCAAUGUUAUCCCAUACAUCAGGAUAUUGCAGAUUUUGAUUUUGAAGAUGGAGAUAUUUGUCAUAAUUAUAACUGAAGUAGUUUACUUUUACCUUGUAAUAAAGUUUUCUAAGUAAUAAUAAAAACUGUUAGUAUUGGAA